AGCCUCGAGUUUCUCUUCAUUGUCGCAUAAAUCUUUCGCCUUUUACUAAAGAUUUCCGUGGAGGGGAGCUUUUGCGAGUGACCUGUAUUUUUUUGGGGGCUCUGCUCACAGCAGAGCU
Small nuclear RNA from Cyprinus carpio carpio, 118 nucleotides. Its record names the gene U5. It matches the Rfam family "U5 spliceosomal RNA". From Rfam's summary of the family: U5 RNA is a component of both types of known spliceosome. The precise function of this molecule is unknown, though it is known that the 5' loop is required for splice site selection and p220 binding, and that both the 3' stem-loop and the Sm site are important for Sm protein binding and cap methylation. NCBI's taxonomy places the organism in Eukaryota, Metazoa, Chordata, Actinopteri, Cypriniformes, Cyprinidae. The record is from Ensembl.